GGUGAGAUGGCCGAGCGGUCUAAGGCGCCAGACUAAGGAGGUGGGAUUUAAAUCCCCAAAAAAUAUCUGGUCCGAAAGGGCGUGGGUUCGAAUCCCACUCUCAUCA
Dichomitus squalens LYAD-421 SS1 is the source of this 106-nucleotide transfer RNA. It matches the Rfam family "tRNA". From Rfam's summary of the family: Transfer RNA (tRNA) molecules are approximately 80 nucleotides in length. Their secondary structure includes four short double-helical elements and three loops (D, anti-codon, and T loops). NCBI's taxonomy places the organism in Eukaryota, Fungi, Basidiomycota, Agaricomycetes, Polyporales, Polyporaceae. The record is from Rfam.